GACGAACGCUGGCGGCGUGCUUAACACAUGCAAGUCGAACGGAAAGGCCCUGCUUUUGUGGGGUGCUCGAUUGGCGAACGGGUGAGUAACACGUGAGUAACCUGCCCUUGACUUUGGGAUAACUUCAGGAAACUGGGGCUAAUACCGGAUAGGAGCUCCUGCUGCAUGGUGGGGGUUGGAAAGUUUCGGCGGUUGGGGAUGGACUCGCGGCUUAUCCGCUUGUUGGUGGGGUAGUGGCUUACCAAGGCUUUGACGGGUAGCCGGCCUGAGAGGGUGACCGGCCACAUUGGGACUGAGGUACGGACCAGACUGCUACGGGAGGCAACAGUGGAAAGUAUUGCGCAGUAAGGGGAAGCGUGAUACGACAGCGCCGCGAGCGGGAUGACGGCCUUCGGGUUAAGAACCGAUUUGGCCUGAAACGAGGCGUGAGUGACGGUAAUGGGUAAAGAAGCACCGGCUAACUACGUG
RNAcentral lists this ribosomal RNA (468 nucleotides) under uncultured bacterium. RNAcentral's name for it is "partial 16S ribosomal RNA". It matches the Rfam family "Bacterial small subunit ribosomal RNA", at positions 28 to 507 of the family's 1533-position model. The record is from RNAcentral.